GGCAGCGAACUGAAGUAGCGAAGCUUCGGCCCCUAACUGCCAAGAAAAGCCGCUAUUGUUUGCAUGACACCCGUACCGUAAACCGACACAGGUGGAUGAGGAGAGAAUCCUAAGGCCGACGGGAGAAGCAUUGUUAAGGAACUCGGCAAAAUGACCCCGUAACUUCGGGAGAAGGGGUGCCUCGAAAGAGGCCGCAGAGAAUUGGCCCAAGCAACUGUUUAGCAAAAACACAGGUCUAUGCAAAACCGAAAGGUGAGGUAUAUGGGCUGACGCCUGCCCGGUGCUGGAAGGUUAAGAGGAGAGCUUAGCGCAAGCGAAGGUUUGAAUUUAAGCCCCAGUAAACGGCGGCCGUAACAAUAACGGUCCUAAGGUAGCGAAAUUCCUUGUCGGGUAAGUUCCGACCCGCACGAAAGGCGUAAUGAUUUGGGCGCUGUCUCGACAAUGCACCCGGUGAAAUUGAAGUACCAGUGAAGAUGCUGGUUACCCGCGCCAGGACGGAAAGACCCCAUGGAGCUUUACUCUAGCUUGAUACUGGGAUUCGGUAUUGUCUGUACAGGAUAGGUGGGAGGCUAUGAACCGUGGACGCCAGUCUGCGGGGAGCCGCUGUUGGGAUACCACCCUUACAAUACUGGAUUUCUAACCUGCCGCCAUGACCUGGCGGAGGGACAAUGUCUGGUGGGGAGUUUGACUGGGGCGGUCGCCUCCGAAAGAGUAUCGGAGGCGCUCAAAGGUCCUCUCAGGAUGGACGGAAACCAUCCGAAGAGUGCAAAGGCAUAAGAGGGCUUGACUGUGACACCGACGGGUGGAGCAGGUACGAAAGUAGGACUUAGUGAUCCGGUGGUAGAAAGUGGGAUUGCCAUCGCUCAACGGAUAAAAGCUACCCUGGGAUAACAGGCUUAUCACUCCCAAGAGUUCACAUCGACGGAGUGGUUUGGCACCUCGAUGUCGGCUCAUCGCAUCCUGGGGCUGUAGCAGGUCCCAAGGGUUGGGCUGUUCGCCCAUUAAAGCGGUACGCGAGCUGGGUUCAGAACGUCGUGAGACAGUUCGGUCCCUAUCCGGCGCGGGCGUAGGAUAUUUGAGAGGAGCUGUCCUUAGUACGAGAGGACCGGGAUGGACGAACCGCUGGUGGAUCGGUUGCAUUAUCAAGUGCAUGGCCGAGUAGCCAAGUUCGGAAGGGAUAAACGCUGAAGGCAUCUAAGCGUGAAGCCCCCCUCAAGAUGAGAUAUCCCAUUCUUUAAAAGAAGUAAGACCCCUUGAAGACCACGAGGUAGAUAGGGCAGAGGUGGAAGUACGGUAACGUAUGGAGCUGACUGUCACUAAUCGGUCGAGGGCUUGACC
Molecule: ribosomal RNA, 1338 nt
Filed under: metagenome
Description: bacterial LSU rRNA
Rfam family: Bacterial large subunit ribosomal RNA
Source: RNAcentral